CCUACGGGAGGCAGCAGUGGGGAAUAUUGCGCAAUGGGCGAAAGCCUGACGCAGCGACGCCGCGUGGAGGAUGAAGGUCUUCGGAUUGUAAACUCCUGUCGUCCGGGACGAAUGCCGGAGAGGUUAACAGUCUCUUCGGUUGACGGUACCGGAGGAGGAAGCCCCGGCUAACUACGUGCCAGCAGCCGCGGUAAU
RNAcentral lists this ribosomal RNA (195 nucleotides) under uncultured Acidobacteriota bacterium. Its description in RNAcentral is "uncultured Acidobacteria bacterium partial 16S ribosomal RNA". It matches the Rfam family "Bacterial small subunit ribosomal RNA", at positions 338 to 524 of the family's 1533-position model. The record is from RNAcentral. Lineage: Bacteria; Pseudomonadati; Acidobacteriota.